CUCUGAAAAGACUUUGCAACUAGAAAGGUUUAAGUGUUACUCGGCGUCAGGGGACGGAGUGGGGGGAAACCAGACAAGAACGCCCAUCAUGAAUUGCUCCCCACAAAGAAAACAAAUUUCUAGGAACUUGGCCGUUUUCCCCUGUCCCGAGUGGGGUUCCCGAUUCCGUGCCGCUUUGAGGGAAGCUGCUCUGUGAAUGUGAGAAAGUUUUUCCCCCAGCCCCCAUCUACUCCCCACCCCCAGCUAUGAAUUUCUUAUUUCAGGAGGGAGGACAAACAUGGAGACACAUUUUUACAGGAGUCUAAUUGGCCGAUUUUUCUCCGGCUUCUCUUCUCCAUCCCGUCUCUUGGAAUUUCUUGGCAUGCCCUACCUGAGAUCCCCUACGGGAGAUUUCCUCUUGGCUCCUGCGGUUCUGAGGACGUUCUGAAAAGUUCCCAAGCCCCAUCUUUGGUAGCUGCCCAGACCCCAGCUUCCAAUUCUUCCCUCUUCUUUGCACAGGCAGCCGUCAGCCCCAUAGCCCCACCGGCGUCCAGAAGAGACCACUUUUAGCAAAUCCGGCAGGGCUGGGGCAGUCUAAGAGUUUGGAAACAAACUGAGAAUAGAGGGAUCCUAUGUCAUGCCAGCUUCUCGCUGGUUUACGCUCCAACUCCCCUCUGUCCGUUGUGCGAAAACGUCUCCGGGCCGACCUUCCUUCAUUUAUUGCCAACAAACGUCCUGGGAGAGCGGCUACAGCCGCUGAACCCAGAAGGGACUUUCUCCAGGCUUUCUUGGCACCCUCCCAAUCAUCUUCCUUCUCUUGCCCGAGGGCAGAUCACCCGGCUACGAACGUGGGUGACUGAGGGUCAGGCCCCUUCCCGGAACCGCCUCCAAGCUCCUAACUUUUGCCUAAUGUGAAACCAUAUCCAAAGAUGAAUAUUUAAACCAUCAGUUCAGCGGCGGAGUAAAUUGAACGUUAUUCUCCGAUCAAACAGGAGCUUCGGGUCCACCUGUUUGGAAGCUCCCAGGCGGCUUGGAGGGGUCCGGCCUUCGGGCGCGACCCGCAGGGGUUGCCUUGCCCGGCUCGCGGAACGGACGUUUACCCGUCGCAGCCACGAACCCACCAACGACACCAAGCACUGGCCGGGCAGACCAGGCGUCGUGGAGGCGCCCCAGCCCCCCAGCCCCCCGCAACGACGCGUCCCAGGGGUGCGCAGUGCUUGGCGCGGUGACCGGACCCGGCCGCCUUCCCGACCGCGCAGAGCGAGAGGCCACACCCUGGAUCCCAGGCCGGGUCCCUGCGGUUCUGGGAGGGAGGUCCCGGACGCCUCCCAGAUCUCGGGCUUCUGUAACCCCGAGGCCGGGUUUUAAAAUCACGGCUCUUCCGAGUUACACGGAGAGUCCGUGGUCAAGGGUCAAGGGCGGCCUUCGACCCUCGGGAUCGUCUUCUUGAGAAAUGGCUGAGAGCUAAGCCUAGAGCUGCGCAGGGAAGGGAGCCAAAGAGCUGGCGCCGAGCGCGAAGGGCCGGGAGGCGCGGGGAGGCCCCUUACCCGCCCCACUGUCCUGCCCGCCAAUGACGCCGAUGACAGCGACAGCGUCGGCCGAGUGCUUCCCCUGCUCCGGGUCGUCCAGGCACCGGGUCCUCCUUCAGCACUCGCAGCACGCACUGAAGAAGACGCUACGGAAGUCUCCGUUUUCCAGACUCGGGGGAAUUAGGAAACGCGCCCGGCGACCCUCGGGCAGUAGCACCGGGCCAGGAGCCCAGGCACCCCUCGACGCCGCUGCCGGCGGAACCGGGAACCCUCCCC
RNAcentral lists this long non-coding RNA (1784 nucleotides) under Homo sapiens (human). RNAcentral's name for it is "non-protein coding LINC01388:3". Lineage: Eukaryota; Metazoa; Chordata; Mammalia; Primates; Hominidae. The record is from RNAcentral.